This 523-nucleotide ribosomal RNA is filed under the name Tenacibaculum maritimum. RNAcentral describes it as "bacterial SSU rRNA". It matches the Rfam family "Bacterial small subunit ribosomal RNA", at positions 8 to 526 of the family's 1533-position model. The record is from RNAcentral. Lineage: Bacteria; Pseudomonadati; Bacteroidota; Flavobacteriia; Flavobacteriales; Flavobacteriaceae.
AGAGUUUGAUCCUGGCUCAGGAUGAACGCUAGCGGCAGGCUUAACACAUGCAAGUCGAGGGGUAACAUUGUAGCUUGCUACAGAUGACGACCGGCGCACGGGUGCGUAACGCGUAUAGAAUCUGCCUUCUACAGAGGGAUAGCCUUUAGAAAUGAAGAUUAAUACCUCAUAACACUUUGGAAUGGCAUCGUUUUAAAGUUAAAGAUUUAUCGGUAGAAGAUGACUAUGCGUCCUAUUAGCUAGAUGGUAAGGUAACGGCUUACCAUGGCAACGAUAGGUAGGGGUCCUGAGAGGGAGAUCCCCCACACUGGUACUGAGACACGGACCAGACUCCUACGGGAGGCAGCAGUGAGGAAUAUUGGGCAAUGGAGGCAACUCUGACCCAGCCAUGCCGCGUGCAGGAAGACUGCCCUAUGGGUUGUAAACUGCUUUUAUACAGGAAGAAACGUACCUACGAGUAGGUAUUUGACGGUACUGUAAGAAUAAGGACCGGCUAACUCCGUGCCAGCAGCCGCGGUAAUAC